ACUCCUACGGGAGGCAGCAGUGGGGAAUAUUGCACAAUGGGGGAAACCCUGAUGCAGCCAUGCCGCGUGUGUGAAGAAUGCCUUCGGGUUGUAAAGCACUUUCAGUAGGGAGGAAGGUAGUGUAGUUAACACCUGCAUUAUUUGACGUUACCUACAGAAGAAGCACCGGCUAACUCCGUGCCAGCAGCCGCGGUAAUACGGAGGGUGCGAGCGUUAAUCGGAAUUACGUGGGCGUAAAGCGCAUGCAGGCGGCCUGUUAAGUCAGAUGUGAAAGCCCGGGGCUUAACCUCGGAAUUGCAUUUGAAACUGGCAGGCUAGAGUCUUGGUAGAGGGGUUAGAAUUUCAGGUGUAGCGGUGAAAUGCGUAGAGAUCUGAAGGAAUACCAGUGGCGAAGGCGGCCCCCUGGACAAGACUGACGCUCAGAUGCGAAAGCGUGGGAGCAAACAGGAUUAGAUACCCCUGGUAGACUGUCA
RNAcentral lists this ribosomal RNA (473 nucleotides) under uncultured bacterium. Its description in RNAcentral is "bacterial SSU rRNA". It matches the Rfam family "Bacterial small subunit ribosomal RNA", at positions 335 to 802 of the family's 1533-position model. The record is from RNAcentral.